GAUGAAGAACGUAGCGAAAUGCGAUAACUAAUGUGAAUUGCAGAAUUCAGUGAAUCAUCGAGUCUUUGAACGCACAUUGCGCCCCCUGGUAUUCCGGGGGGCAUGCCUGUCCGAGCGUCAUUGCUGCCCUCAAGCACGGCUUGUGUGUUGGGCUCCGUCCCCCCGGGGACGGGCCCGAAAGGCAGCGGCGGCACCGAGUCCGGUCCUCGAGCGUAUGGGGCUUUGUCACCCGCUCUGUAGGCCCGGCCGGCGCCAGCCGACAACCCAUCAUCCUUUUCAGGAUGACCGCGGAUCAGGUAGGGAUACCCGCUGAACUUAAGCAUAUCAAUAAGCGGAGGA
This 339-nucleotide unclassified non-coding RNA is filed under the name soil metagenome. RNAcentral describes it as "partial contains 5.8S ribosomal RNA, internal transcribed spacer 2, and large subunit ribosomal RNA". The stretch from base 1 to 120 matches the Rfam family "5.8S ribosomal RNA", at positions 35 to 154 of the family's 154-position model. The record is from RNAcentral.